RNAcentral lists this transfer RNA (114 nucleotides) under bacterium. RNAcentral describes it as "tRNA-OTHER". It matches the Rfam family "tRNA". From Rfam's summary of the family: Transfer RNA (tRNA) molecules are approximately 80 nucleotides in length. Their secondary structure includes four short double-helical elements and three loops (D, anti-codon, and T loops). Further hydrogen bonds mediate the characteristic L-shaped molecular structure. tRNAs have two regions of fundamental functional importance: the anti-codon, which is responsible for specific mRNA codon recognition, and the 3' end, to which the tRNAs corresponding amino acid is attached (by aminoacyl-tRNA synthetases). tRNAs cope with the degeneracy of the genetic code in two manners: having more than one tRNA (with a specific anti-codon) for a particular amino acid; and 'wobble' base-pairing, i.e. permitting non-standard base-pairing at the 3rd anti-codon position. The record is from RNAcentral.
GCUGGGAUGCCCGAGUGGUCUAAGGGGCCAGACUCAAGUUAGCAAGCUUCACCGAAAGACGAGUGAGAAUUCUGGUAGUCAUUGACUGCGUGGGUUCGAACCCCACUCUCAGUA